CAGGGAACUUAGAAACUAAUCUUUGCCAACAUACUGGAUUUCUGGUGAUGACAAUAGCAGCAGAUAGUAUGCGGCUCAGUUAAUACUAAAAACAAUUGAUUUUAGUAAUUAGUGGACUAUGAGUGUGUGUUUGACCAUCCAGAUUUCAUAACUACAACUGAUGUUCAAUUACAAGGGAUAUUAAUCAGUCUCCGUGGACUAUACACUGUGCCUAGUUUCAUCCUCAGAGACUGAUGUGUAAGCUUAAAGUAAAGACAUCAAAUCAAAGUAUCAGCCAUCAAGAGGAAAAACAUUCAAAAUCAUAUUGUGAUACACAAGUCAAGCAAGUCUAUGACCAGCAUUUUGAUACAGGCCAAGAAAAAGCUGGAUACUUGAUUGGAAGGGUCGCACAAAAAACAUGGGUUAUCACUAGGGAAACAAGCUCGCAAUACAGUUCACUGUUAGGACAGCAAGCCAAAUACUUCUAAACUUAUUUGAAUCAUUUUUGCUGUUUAUUAUAAUUCAUCCAAUUGUCUUAUUAAAUAUAUAAAUUUAUAUAUAUACACAAUUCCUAAUAUAGAAUUUCUAAAAAUGUUUUAUUAUAAUAUUUCAAAAUGAAA
This is a long non-coding RNA of Physella acuta, 599 nucleotides long. RefSeq lists it as uncharacterized. The record is from RefSeq and is a predicted model, not a curated record. Lineage: Eukaryota; Metazoa; Mollusca; Gastropoda; Physidae.